UACGGAGGGUGCAAGCGUUAUUCGGAAUUAUUGGGCGUAAAGGGCAGGUAGGCGGAUCAUUAAGUCACAUGUGAAAUCCCUUGGCUUAACCAAGGAACUGCAUGUGAAACUGAUUAUCUUGAGUGUUAUAGAGGGAAGUGGAAUUCCACAAGUAGGAGUGAAAUCCGUAGAUAUGUGGAGGAACAUCAGUAGCGAAGGCGACUUCCUGGAUAACCACUGACGCUGAACUGCGAAAGCGUGGGUAGCAAACAGG
RNAcentral lists this ribosomal RNA (253 nucleotides) under uncultured bacterium. RNAcentral describes it as "partial 16S ribosomal RNA". It matches the Rfam family "Bacterial small subunit ribosomal RNA", at positions 524 to 776 of the family's 1533-position model. The record is from RNAcentral.